This 2977-nucleotide long non-coding RNA is filed under the name Salmo salar (Atlantic salmon). Its description in RNAcentral is "lncRNA (ENSSSAG00000116530.1)". The record is from RNAcentral. Lineage: Eukaryota; Metazoa; Chordata; Actinopteri; Salmoniformes; Salmonidae.
GCAGAAGGCCAUGAAAUGAUCUGUAACUUUGUCUGUCUAUCACCAAUUCUACCAGAGAGAGCUUUGUAGUUCAUAUGCUGUUCCACAGUGGCCAUUUGGCCCUGUAUACACUUGCAUGUCAGUGCUUUUCUCCUGUUAAUUUAUUAGAAUAAGUAAUUGAGUAGAAUUUACUAGAAUUUAUAGUCAUGCUAUUGGUAACGGCUCAGUCGAUCCUUGUUUGAACUCACCAUCUUUUGGAAAUAUAUUUUGUGUGGGGUGAGUUUGUGUAAGAAUGCAAAUGUUCAUCUCCUGCAAUGUCUCAUCCACUGAAUUCAGCAAAGGUUUCAAAGUGUCAGCUCUGGCUCUGGUGCCCUCCCUUCUCCCCGAGCUCUUGCUCUCUGUUUAUCACCGCUGUUGCUCCACAGCACGGUCCCCAUUCUGUCAGAGGAUUUUUGAACUAUGAUAGUCAAUAGCGAUCAAAUGAAGUCAAGCUGUCACUGCACACUGUCUCUUUGCUGUGUGUGUGUAUACACUGUAUCUCACUGUAGGUGUACACUGCUAACCACUUAGCUUGAAUGUUGCAUAUCCCUACACUCACACACAGGUAAAUAUUGUACACAAUCAGCUUCACGGCCUCUAAGGUGCUCAAACUGAGUCCUUAUAAACUAGCUGCAAUGCUAGCUUGAGUUUGAGCUAAAUUGAGCUAGCAAAUAAAUGACCAUAAAUGUCUGUUAUUAGAUGUUAUUUGCGUGGUGUUGUCACUCAACAAGCUUCUUUGGUUAAUGCUUGGCAUAUCACAGUUUUAUGUAGAUACCAUCGAUAGCAGUUUUGGCACUCGUACGUGUUUAAGCGGGCAGUUGUGUCCUUUCCUAUGAAAGUCAUCACAUUCCACAUGGAACUGAGAGUAGGCAGUAUGCACAUCUGGGCUGCACACUGAACAUUUUGUAUAUCUGAUUGCACUUUGAAAAGCCCAGAGCAACCAUUUUGUUUUUAAUCACUGGUUGAUUUGAUCAAACUUUUUUUUUUGCCACGGAACCUGAUUUAUUUAUUUUUUUGCUCUCUUUUGAUACUUUUGAAAACAAAUAUCUAUUUGUAGUUAUUGUAACAUAAAAGGCUAAUAUCCUGGGCCGUUCAAGUCCUUUGUCCUAUAGUUUUCCCUCACAGCCAUGAGAUAUGAGAAAUUUGUUAGUUACAUGCACAGUAUCUUCAGUUUCCAUCGAAACAAAACAUCAAGGCAACUUGUUGAAACAAAAUGUAAUUGUCAUUGAGAAGCACUGUGUCUCGGAACCCAUUUCAUCAUGUUUGAAUCAUUUGCACAGCACUUUAAAAAAAAAAAAAAAAAAAAUCACAACAGCCGCACAGGUUUUGAUAACAUACAGGCAUUUUUCAAACUGUAGUCUUUCCAAUUCAGAGGAAGAUCCUCUGACUAUCCUUUUGUCUUUCUCUCUGUAGGAGGCUUCCAGUCUGGGGCAUGAUUUAAUUAUAUGGAUAUAAGAUCUGUUGGAGUGAGGUAAAAUUGCAUUAGCCCUAACACCGUGACCCCACCUAGUCUUGGCUUGGGCAAAGAUGUGCUGGGCAGUAGCCUGGAAAUGUGUUUGUAUUUAACAUAUGGGGCCCUGAAGGUAGACUUUAAAUGGCCAAAUUUGUAGUGUGAGCACAGGCUUAAGCAUGUCAGAGUCUCACCACUGAAAGGCCAAUGGGUUGUAGUCCACCGUUUGGCCAACUUUGCCCAGGAGGUUCUAACAUGGUGGCUGAGGAAUAGUGUGAUGUUAUCUUUAUUCAUUGCUGGAGAGUUAAACGGUACAUCUAGAAAGGAGUAGUGUUCAGGCUCCUAACCGUAGCCGCGCUAAUAAGGGUUGCGUUCAAUAUUUUAAAAAAGUGUUAAAGUGGAGCAUUUUUGGAGGGUGAAAGGAGAAUGACAGCGUCUUAGCAUUGUUCUGUGGAAAAGGAUGGCUGUCAAUGUGUCGGUUUGAUAAGGACACAAGUGUUUUUUUGUCUCACGUGUCUGUGCAUGACAGAUAAUUACUGCGAGAGGUGAGAUGUCUUUGGCUAGCAACAUUGUGAGUUCUGUUCAUGACAGGAAGGUUUAGUGGAGAUCAAAUCAAGAUGUAUCAUAAUUGCUAUCUAACAUAUUUUAGAAAACAAACCGUGUACAUUCUCCCGUUUCUGUAUCUUUGACAGAUUUUCUAGUUUCCUAUUUCUAUGUUCUCACUGUUUCUUUCUGACUUUAAUUUGAGAUUCUGGGGUUGUGUAUAUUACAGGUGCCUGUGAUCGAUAUUCAACAGUUUCUUCUUCCUAUGAGCAUUUCCUUUUGUAAAUAGCACAGAAAGCACUCUGCAAAGAUCAGCAACGAUGUCCCAUAUCACUGAAUAAUCCAAACCAAAAUUAGAUGCUGUGUCUUUGUUACCCUCUGUUUUGCUGGCCUCCCCUAAACCCAUAGCUUAAUUAAAACCUCUUUUGUAGAUAUCAAAAUGUAAAUACAGUAUAACCUUGUGUAAAUGAGUUUGUUCCCAGACACUAUCAGGCAGAUGCACUGCCGCCUGUCGUUAGCGUAUGUGAUUGUUUCCCCAGGAAUGGCAAAGGGCUCUCCCCUCGCUGUGAAUGUGUUCAAUUGUUGGGGUGCCCUCCCUUUUCCUAUCCCUUGGCCCUGACUGAAUCCCUCUCUCUAGUCCACUCUCCUUUUCCUCCCAUGAGAACCCAUCCCACUCUUUCGCUGUUGUGUGUUGUACAGACAAAUCUGAGCUGUGAAUAAAAAGAGACAAAGAAAUCAAUGGGUUGUGAGUAUCCCAUUGGCUGUCAUUGAUUCACCGCCUCAGUCAUAAUUGAAGGUCAGAGUUGUACGUUGUGUGUGGGGGAAAUGCAAAACAAGACCAGUACUCUGAAAUGUGUUUAAACUGCAUAAUGCUAUGAAGUCUAUGCUAAAUAUAUUACACUAAUGCUGACUUGUUGAAUUUGUUAACACAAUGAACGUGCAAAUAAAUAAAAAAAACUGAUACAC